CACACACACACACACACACACACACACACACACACAGGAGGUUCGCAUUAGGAAGAGCAGCUCAUCCCACUCAGCCGCUUAUUGCGUCAUGUAUUAUUGAAGGCAGCUCUUGUAUAAACACAACUCCAAUAAAUUGGGGUCUCAGUUUUUCGGAUUCAUUAAGGUUAAUGCAGUUUUAAUUAGUGCUUGAUUUGAAGCCUAUUAGAGGCAAUUUAUAAGUCCUUCUCGUGGACCUGAGAAAUGACGUUGCGUGGGAUUAAUAUGAUAAAAGGCACAAGUUGGAGCUGCGGUCCCUGCUGGGUUGAAGGGAUUCCUCUCGUUUCGCUGUAACGGCUUGUUUAUUUGCACAACUGCUUUCAGGCACAUUAAAACAAUCUAAUGAAUGAGCAGCUUUGGCUUCAGGGAUUGCUUCAUCCACCGCUUGGACAAAUGAAACUGAAGUGAUUAGUGCUGAUUAGAAGAAUGAAGAACAAAUGGAUUGAAACAGACAACAAGAUGUCCUUUAACCUUUCAGAGCAACUUUACCCUCCAGGCGCUCAGAGUUGUGAUGCUGCGGGCAGGAAUGAUCUCCAGUAGCAGUCAGUCUUACAGCAAAUCUGAAGAGGCCUCUGACUGAAGAGGGUCUGAUGACAGCCCAACAUGCUAACAGCUUAAUAUGCAGAGAGGCUCACAAUGGGAAUUCGCUGAAGAUCACUUUCCAGUUGGACGUGAUGAGCGGAGGAGCAGGAGGGCGACGCGUUCGCACGUCCCGCAGCCUCAUCUCUGUGUAACGAGCAGGUAAUUGAUGCCGGCCUCCUCUUCCUCCUCUUCCUCGUCUAACCCUGUGCAGCCACUAGAUGGAGCAUGAUAACCACAGAGAGGCUCUCCCGGUGGGACCCCGACCCCCGACCCCGCCCCGGAUCCGGUGGGUGCUGCGGCUCCCGGCGGAGGCUUCCAAGAGUGACCUUUGAUCCCGCAGCAUGUGUGGUAUGCUGAGCCGCCCGCGCGCCGCUCUGAUCCUGGGAAGCAAUCACCGAGCGCGCCGCUAUCAGAGGAAAAGGAGAAACACUCUAUAAGCCCGAGUGUGGAGGUGAGCGCCGAGCGAAAAGCAAAUGUGCAGGGAUGGAAAAAAUAACCAAGUGCAGCCAACCACGCAGAAAGCUGAUGGGCCAGAGCGGCGCGUGAUAAAGCCGUGGAGUAUCAGUCUUCCUCGCAGAAACAGCUGCUCCAGCUACAACAACAAACUUUAAGUGAGCCAAAACGAGACGGGCGAUCCAGAGUGCUGUGGGAAAGCCUGUAAAUGUUAUGUGUUUUGAAAAUGGUUCCGAUAAUCUCUCCCCUAAUCCCUUAAUUGGGAGUCAAUGUAGUCUCCUGCGAGCGCACAAAGCCGGAGCCGGAGAGGAUCUCUUAGAGCGAAGCGCCUACACCUGGGCGACGAGGCCGCCUUUCACUGCGCCGAGGACGCUUUCAGGAAAGUCCUUGGCUGUGAACGUUCCCAUGUUAAAAGCACUACCCAUUAAGGUACAUCUGAGAGAGAUGUAUUUCCGCACGCUGUUUGAAGAUUUCCCAUUUGCAUGAGAAAAAAAACGUGGGUCUGUGUAAAACUGUAACUUGUGAACUGAUCAAAAGCCAGAGGCCGUUCUGGAGCUGAAUGGCUUUCCCCCUUUGACACGAAAGAGGCUCUCUUGAGGCGCCUUCGCGGCGGUGGCCUUGGAGGUUAGCAAAAUGUCGCCCCCCACACCAAACGGGCUAUUCUCUGGAGUCCGGACAGCACUUGAGGAGAAAAGAGACGGUUUGCCGCUGCGGAUCAAGCCCCACUCACAUUCCAGAAGAGGCUUUUCCUCGUCCCACAGACGGCCUUUGGAAAGUGGAUGUGCAGCAGCUAAACACGCCAAACUAGGCUGGUUUUCAUAUGCUAAUAUUAUUGGUUAAAAGGGAUUUUAAAUGUAUAAGAAUGUUGUAUUGUGGUUAUCUUGUGCAAAUAUUACACGGUUAUUAA
Poecilia reticulata (guppy) is the source of this 1978-nucleotide non-coding RNA. The record is from RefSeq and is a predicted model, not a curated record. NCBI's taxonomy places the organism in Eukaryota, Metazoa, Chordata, Actinopteri, Cyprinodontiformes, Poeciliidae.